This 665-nucleotide ribosomal RNA is filed under the name Helvella crispa. RNAcentral describes it as "eukaryotic LSU rRNA". It matches the Rfam family "Eukaryotic large subunit ribosomal RNA", at positions 119 to 796 of the family's 3401-position model. The record is from RNAcentral. Lineage: Eukaryota; Fungi; Ascomycota; Pezizomycetes; Pezizales; Helvellaceae.
AAUCUGGGGCCCCCGGCCUCCGAGUUGUAAUUUGGAGAGGCUCCUUCGGGGGGGAGCGCUGGCCCAUGUUCCUUGGAACAGGACGUCGCAGAGGGUGAGAAUCCCGUGCCAGGCCGGCCGCCUCCUCCCACGUGAAGGGCCUUCGACGAGUCGAGUUGUUUGGGAAUGCAGCUCCAAGCGGGUGGUAAAUUUCAUCUAAAGCUAAAUACCGGCGGGAGACCGAUAGCGCACAAGUAGAGUGAUCGAAAGAUGAAAAGCACUUUGAAAAUAGAGUCAAAAAGUACGUGAAAUUGUUGAAAGGGAAGCGCUUGAGACCAGACUCAGACCCAGGCAAACACCGCGCCCCCAGGGGCCGUGCAAUUGCCCGGUGCUGGGCCAGCAUCAGUUGGCGUGGCGGGACAAGGGCGCGGGAAAUGUGGCUCCCCUCGGGGAGUGUUAUCAGGCCCGCGCCGGAUGCCGCCGACGCCGACUGAGGACCGCGCCUCGGCUAGGAUGCUGGCUUAAUGGCCUUCAGCGACCCGUCUUGAAACACGGACCAAGGAGUCUAACAUCUAUGCGAGUGUUUGGGCGCCAAACCCUUGCGCGGAAUGAAAGUGAGCGGAGGUGGGAACCCCUCACGGGGCGCACCAUCGACCGAUCCUGAUGUCUUCGGAUGGAUUUGAGUA